ACGUGAAGAAUCUGCCCUCCACUUUGGGAUAACACCGGGAAACCGGUGCUAAUACCGAAUAUUGAAACAUAAGUGGCAUCACUGAGUUUUGAAAGAAUUUCGGUGGAGGAUGACUUCGCGGCCUAUCAGCUAGUUGGUGAGGUAAUGGCUCACCAAGGCAACGACGGGUAGCCGGCCUGAGAGGGCGACCGGCCACACUGGGACUGAGACACGGCCCAGACUCCUACGGGAGGCAGCAGUGGGGAAUAUUGGGCAAUGGAGGAAACUCUGACCCAGCGACGCCGCGUGCGGGAUGAAGGCCUUCGGGUUGUAAACCGCUUUCAGUAGGGAAGAAGCGAAAGUGACGGUACCUACAAAAGAAGCACCGGCUAACUAUGUGCCAGCAGCCGCGGUAAUACAUAGGGUGCAAGCGUUGUCCGGAAUUAUUGGGCGUAAAGAGCUCGUAGGUCGUUUGUUACGUCGGAUGUGAAAACCUGAGGCUCAACCUCAGGCCUGCAUUCGAUACGGGCAAA
This 512-nucleotide ribosomal RNA is filed under the name uncultured Actinomycetes bacterium. Its description in RNAcentral is "bacterial SSU rRNA". It matches the Rfam family "Bacterial small subunit ribosomal RNA", at positions 115 to 640 of the family's 1533-position model. Lineage: Bacteria; Bacillati; Actinomycetota; Actinomycetes. The record is from RNAcentral.